AGCCUUGCGGUGUCGGGGAGGAGCGCGGCAGCGCUCGCAGGAGCACCCAGAGCUCGGCUGUCGGGAUGCGGCCGCGGAGGGGAGGGGAACGGGAACGGCGGCACCUUCCCCCGGCGAAGAGCCAAGUUAAAUAGCCAGCGCCACGCCGCCGUCUUCCUCUCCCCUCCCGGCUCCGAGCCCUCGGCGAACGUCCCCCGUCCUACCCCGGCCGCGGGCGGCGGAGGGCAGCGCGGAGCCAGCCUGCUCCGCGGAGCCGGGACGCCGGCGCUGCCGGGAGGGGCGGGCGCUUUGGAGUCGGUGCCGGAGGCGCCGUGUCCCGCCGAGCCGCCCGUCUGACAGGACUACGCCAGCUGCAUGGGAGGAGAUGAGCGUGGCGGGGAAGCAGCCUCCUCCAGCACCGCUCGAGCGGCCCGGCAGCCUCCUCGUCCCCACCUGGGACUCCUCACAUGCCGUCCAAAUGUUUCCUCACUGAUACUUCCCACUUUGGCCUUGUACAGCUGCAGAUUUUUCACCUGUCAUUUUUAAGAAAUGACCUUUGGACUGUGGUGGCAUUAAGUGUCUGAGGGUGCUUCUGUGAGAUGCAGAAGUUCAUUGCCACCAUUCCAGUAUUCCUUGCAUAUAAUUUCUGUCAAAUCAUUUGGGGUUUUUCACACUGAACAAUUAUAUUGGUGUUGACAGUUGUAUGUGUCUGAAAAUCAUUAAAAAGAGCUUUAGAAAUCAAAUUUGGUAAUAGUUGUGUGGGUCUUGAGUCUUUCUUCUUAAAAGGAAGUGAGAAUGUUGUUGGUGAAGGUAUAGCCUGGGUACUUCAUAGACUCUAAUCUAAACCUACCAUCUUUCAUCUUAAAGCCAUUCCCCCCUGUCCUAUCACUGUAUACCCAAGUAGAAGUCCCUCUCCAGCUUUUUUGUAGGCUCCCUUCAGGGUGCAGUUAGGUCUUCCUGGAGCCUUUGCUUCUUCAGGCUGAACAAUGGCAGCUCACUCAAGUGUGUUCUCAGAGAACUGUGAGUUAGCUACUUUAUUCAUCACAGGUUUUUUUCCAGUACAAAAAUUUUUAUGUAGAGCCACGUUAGUGCUGGUUAUUUUGAAUUUUGGG
This 1091-nucleotide long non-coding RNA is filed under the name Parus major (Great Tit). Its description in RNAcentral is "lncRNA (ENSPMJG00000009909.1)". Lineage: Eukaryota; Metazoa; Chordata; Aves; Passeriformes; Paridae. The record is from RNAcentral.